Molecule: ribosomal RNA, 449 nt
Filed under: uncultured bacterium
Lineage: Bacteria
Description: bacterial SSU rRNA
Rfam family: Bacterial small subunit ribosomal RNA
Source: RNAcentral
GUCCAGACUCCUACGGGAGGCAGCAGUGGGGGAUAUUGCACAAUGGGGGGAACCCUGAUGCAGCGACGCCGCGUGGGUGAAGGAGUGCUUCGGCAUGUAAAGCCCUAUCGGCAGGGAAGAAGCAAGACGGUACCUGACUAAGAAGCCCCGGCUAACUACGUGCCAGCAGCCGCGGGAAUACGUAGGGGGCAAGCGUUAUCCGGAUUUACUGGGUGUAAAGGGGGCGCAGACGGCGAUGCAAGCCAGGAGUGAAAGCCCGGGGCCCAACCCCGGGACUGCUCUUGGAACUGCGUGGCUGGAGUGCAGGAGGGGCAGGCGGAAUUCCUGGUGUAGCGGUGAAAUGCGUAGAUAUCAGGAGGAACACCGGUGGCGAAGGCGGCCUGCUGGACUGCAACUGACGUUGAGGCCCGAAAGCGUGGGGAGCAAACAGGAUUAGAUACCCGCGUAGU